RNAcentral lists this ribosomal RNA (233 nucleotides) under uncultured Actinomycetales bacterium. Its description in RNAcentral is "partial 16S ribosomal RNA". It matches the Rfam family "Bacterial small subunit ribosomal RNA", at positions 97 to 334 of the family's 1533-position model. Lineage: Bacteria; Bacillati; Actinomycetota; Actinomycetes; Actinomycetales. The record is from RNAcentral.
GGCGAACGGGUGAGUAACACGUGGGUGAUCUGCCUUGCACUUCGGGAUAAGCCUGGGAAACUGGGUCUAAUACCGGAUAGGACCAUGCUUUAGUGUGUGUGGUGGAAAGUUUUUCGGUGCAAGAUGAGCCCGCGGCCUAUCAGCUUGUUGGUGGGGUAAUGGCCUACCAAGGCGACGACGGGUAGCCGGCCUGAGAGGGUGUACGGCCGCAUUGGGACUGAGACACGGCCCAG